Ictalurus punctatus (channel catfish) is the source of this 7592-nucleotide long non-coding RNA. The record is from Ensembl. Lineage: Eukaryota; Metazoa; Chordata; Actinopteri; Siluriformes; Ictaluridae.
CUGGGCAGGUGCCAUUAAGCGAGAUGGGACUGUCAGUGUCUCCGUUGAUUGGCGGGGUCAGCGGUCCUUCAGUGGGCAUCAGGAAGGUUCGUCCGCCUGGACUCAGACUGCCUUCCUCCUCUAAAGCCUGCUUUAGCCAACGCUGCGCACACACACACACACACACACACACACACACACACACACACACACGAGGUUAACCAGUUUUAAUGGAAAUGUACUAUAUAUUUCCCCACUCCGGUGCUUGGACCCCGAAUAAUCGCUAAUAACAACUAAAAGCUAUGAGGCAGUAAGAUGUGAUCGACGAACUUUUUUGCAGGAGCCAGAGGUGGGCGGAGUAUCGGAGAGUUCUCGUGAGCGGCGGCGAGCGGCGGGCACCGCAGGGGUGCUGGGGCUGCGACUGGCCAGGAACGGAGAAGAAAAUCGGACGUAGUGCUUGGGCGUGCUGUAGACAUGUGGGCUGCAGGCCAUGCCGGGAAGAGAGUUGAGCUGCGUGGCUAAAACUUCGGGAUCAGUGCUGAUCCUCAGCGGCCGAUCAGGGACGGGCUCAGGACUGCGCAUUAUCACGCGCUGCUCUUGCUUCUCCACACUCAGCCACUCGUUCACUAAGUGCUGUGGACGGGGAGGGAGACAAUUAUGAGAUGAAAAAGAGACAGAGAGAAUAAACAAUAUACAAAAUUGGAUCAUUAAUGCAUAUGUUGGUAGUGAAACUUGUAACUACCCACAGAGUAUCUACAGGCUCAAGGAUAAGAUUAGCCCGACCAUGGCAAAGUAAACCCGAACAUCAUCCAGGGUUCAGGCCAACAAUGCAACUAUAACAAUGUUGAUCUGACCCAAUUUUGGAUGUCAAUGUUGAUGUUGAUGUUUAACCAAAUCAUUUGAGAAUGGACAAAUAAUGUCAACAUUGACUUAAAUGUCAACUGGAGAUUGGGUCAGCGAUGACCAGGUUGAGAAGAACGUUGCCAGAAAUGUAAAUUCUGGUCCAAAUGUCAUUCAGAGACCGAGUCAUCAAUCUUGACUUUGACUCGAAACUGUCAGAGCCAAAAACAACAAUGCUGACCCCAAGGUCUUCCAGACAUUGCUAACCCAAACGUUGUCUCGACAUUGAGAUGACGAAGAUGAGACAUAAUUGGGAUUGAUCCAACCGUCACCCAGAGACGUCACUGCUAAGCUGAUUUCCAGGCCAGUUGUUUAAACAACCUGACUCGAAUGGUGUUCAGCGAUCACCUGUCAACAGUGUUGACCCAAACAUUCUUGAAGAUUUGGUCAACAAUACAGUUUGUGGCCCAAGUGCUGUCCUUUGAAGAGGCAAAUGAUACUGACAUCAAUCCAAACGUUCUCAUGACUGCGUUGAUGUUGACCCAAACAUCAUUUGAAGAUUGGGCCAAUGACAAUGAUAUUAACCCAAAAUUGUCCAGAUCGGGGCAACACUAUCCAUGUUGAUCCAACCUCUGUCCAGUGGUGUCAGUGACACUGCUGAUCCAACCUCGGUCCAGAGAUUGGACCAGCGAUUAUGAUGACGUUGACCAAACUUCGUCAAUUAAUGUUGACCCAAAUAUUGUUCAGAGAUCAAAUCAACAAUGUCAGAGUUGACCCAAACAUCGGCAGAGAUCUGGACAACAAUGUUGACCCCAAUGGAAAUCAGGCCAAAAGACUGACUCAAAAGAUUUCCAGAGAUCUGGUAAACAGUGUUGAUGUUAGUCAACAGUAUCAAUGUUGAAUAGAUCGUAAUCCAGAGUUUGGGGAUUCUAACGUUGUCUUUAGAUGAGGAAAAGAACGUUGAUGUUGAGCCAAGCUUUAUUUUGAGAUCGGGACAACUUUGUCUCCUGAAGCUUGGGCCAACGAUAAUCAAACAUUGUGACCAAAUAUUGUCCAGAGAUCGGGGCGAACACUGUCUAUGUUAAUCCAAUCAUCAUGUAAUUGUAAUUGUUGACAUGACCUUAGUCUGGAGAUUGGGCAAAUCAUGUUGAUUGGACCAGCAAUGCUGGACAUUCAGAUGAACAUUGCCAUAUUUUUAAUUUGUAUUUGGGCUAAAAUAAGUUAACUUAAAGGCCGAAGCUCUUCAGAUUCAGUAAUGUCAGUGGUGUUAAGAGAGGGUUCCCUUUUACCUUUUUCGUUUUGGGAUACUUGUGCCCAGGUGAAGUGUGAGGUGGGCUGGCAGUGGCGUCUGGGCUGUGAGAAGGUGGAGCUUCAGUCUCAGGCACCGCUCCGGUCUCCCCAUCCUGCGUUUCGGCCAUUAGCUGGGUUUCCAGAGCGUCUCCGGGGGACGCUGGCGGCGGGUCGGAGCAGGCGCUGGCCGUGCGUGUUCGCCGUCUCUGCUGCCCGAUAUGUGUUCGGUUUCGAGAGAAACUCUUCCUCUGCUUGUUCCGGCUGACCUUCGCUGCCUUCUGAGCCACCUCCUCCUUCACCGGCUCCAACAACGGCUGAACAUCAAAAACACGACCACGGACCGAGUCAGAAUAAUCCGAAUUAUACAGAUACUCCACCUAAGAAUAAAAAAUAAAUGCGUUGCCUACCGUAGCAGGUGACUCCACCUCUGGAGUAGCAGGAGGCUCUUCUUUGAUUUCACCACGAGUUCCCACCUCUCCCUUGGUGCCGAUUCUUUCCAGAGCUUGCUCCCUCCGUUUCUCCCUCUUCUCCAUGCGGGCAAACGCCUGCAGGAUGGCCUCCAUCUUCCUCUCCUCACGCGUCUAUACAAACAUCAAGACAAAGCAAGAGCGGGAUAAGGAUGCGUGGGAAACCGCUGGGAGUCGCGUAGGCAGGAAACCAGCAGCAGAGAAAAGGCACAGAACAGAUAGCAUCAGAGCUUUUUUAGAAAAUCUUUUGGGGGCCAACAAGCUGUAAUGCUCCUACCUUACUUACUUGUCUUCCCCUACCAAGUUCAGUUCCCACACUGAAAUGCCUAGAAGUGUUUCUGAACAAACAUCGAGGACAGAUCGGUCUGUGACUCACCAACAACCCGUAAAAGCUCAGCCGCAGUCCACACCUUUGACCAAAUUUUCAUCAACUUGGACACGUUUAUGGCAGUUACUGUCACUUACAGAUGGAGACAUCAGAGUAAAGGAUGCACUGUCAAAGCCCUCGUUCAUUUCCAUUUUAAUCCACACCAGCUAUGUAAAAUGUGCAAGACAGUUGCUUUAAGAUUUGACUCUUUUUAAACCACCCCAUAUCACCUUAGGGAGGUUUUCCUCACCACCGUUACCACUGGCUCACUCAAUAGGUAUAAAUUCACACUUAAAAUUUGUAUCCUGUGUUUAUAUAUUUCUGUAAAGAUGCUUUCUGUAAUGUCCAUUGUUAAAAGAGCUAUACAAAUAAAAUUGUACUGAAUUGAAUGUCACAUGUAAACUCUAUAAAAACUCAAUGAAAGAACAAAACCACACUUUUUAUAUGAUUCCCACUAUUUAAGAUCAUAAUCUACAAAGAUAUCAUGCCCGUUGUCCAUGAUACUCUUUCGACAUCAACAUGGAGAAGCAAAAUAAACAUAAAUACACACCGAUUAUUCACGGUCUCAUGUCAGGUUUUUGUAAUUAGAGCUGGCAGAUUGCUACGAACAGAACAGGCCUCGUAACAAAGACUUGAGAGCAAACCAGACUCAGCAGUGCGAGUUACAGAUUGAGGAAGUGUGAUCAGAUUUGCUGGAAGGGGCGUGGCCAAGAGGGGACAUGGUUAGCGGCAGGAGAUUCCGGUCGCUCCUAAACAAGACUUAUUGCAUUAAUUAUUAAACAUAGCUCUCAAAACUGAAAAAAAAACCAAAUGGCAAGAAAUGUAAAUUAACGUCCUGGUAACUGAUAAUCAGAUCACGGGGUUGCCAAAAAAGAUUAAAAAUGAUGUGCGGUGUCGCUCAUUCUCCUGUCAGUAACAAGUGCAAAAACGCACCUGAAACAGUGUGGGAUCUGGGUGAACGCUCGGCUAGUCUGCUAGUGAGCUAGCUUGCUAACUAGCGAGCACUAAAGUUUCAGCAUAUGUCGUGCAUGAGUGGUGCCACUGGAAUGAUCAAACCAAAUAUAAACCAAAAGAACAAAAAGUUAAGAUGUGGAACAUGGUAUGUUUUGUUCUGGUUUAUAAAUCUGGAGCAAAGCCUUAAGCUCCGGACGUCUAUAGUAACAUCGAGUUGAUCCCCCGGCUCGGAAACGUCACUGCAGCCAGCCAACCAAGCAAUCCAGCCGAGGGAAUUAGAGACAGGAAGUGGAAAAGAGGAGGAUGUAUUUAAAGCAGCAGUGGUACAGAGGGUUAUUGUGUUUUCUCCGUCAUUACUAGCUGAGCAACACUACAGCAUCCUGUCAGUAUGACUCAGCAAUGCAAUGUGACAGCUGGGACAGUUCUCCAGAGAGAGAGAGAGAGAGAGAGAGAGAGAGAGAGAGAGAGAGAGAGAGACACACACACACACACGUCCGUGACCUCAUGGUUUCAGAAUAGCAGGCUUUCAGUGGUUUGAAGAUGUUGAACACCUGCUAGUGAGAGAUGGACAUGAAGGUUUAAUCUUCUACCGAUGCAGCGCCUGAAAUAUCCAGCGAGCUCCGCAAUCGUCCACUGAUGUGCUGAAUCACUCUGGAGUUACCGUCCUCCUCCGAACGGAAAGAGGACUUUUCUUCAAACACCAUCCUUUCCACUCGUGUCCUUCGUGAUAAAGGACACGAGUGGAAAGGAUGGUGUUUGAAGAAAAGCUCCAGGAGAAUUCCAUUUCGAUUUGACAUCGUUUCAGUCAUUUCAAUUUAUGUUUUGCAGUGCAUUGCAUAAGUAUCGACCCCCUCCACUGAUCUUGAGACAGACUUCAUUGGGAUUAUGUGUCACAAAGUCUCCCUGAGAACACCAUCCCCACUGUGAAGCAUGGUGGUGGUAGCACCAUGAUCAGAGUCACCCUUGGCCUCUUGGUUGUUUCUCUGACUAAUCCCUUCCUUACUCGGUCACUCUAAACUGCCAGACUGCCUCCUUUAGAUAGAAGCAAGGAGAUGCCAUAUUCUUUCCAUUUUAACAAAGAAUUGUCACGUUUAACGUUGAUUUAAAGUUUUUGUUAUUUAAACAACCGCACUCUGAUACUUUUCCUGUCCCUGACUUGUUUUGAUAGCUCCAGGAUGCCAUCCUGGUGUUCUUCCAGAAACAGAGAUCACGUAACACAUCAUUUACAUACAGGUCGACCCCAUUCAACAAAAUUAUGUCUCUGCAGUUUAUGGAAACUAAUUUAGGGUGAAUACUUAGGCAAGGUACAAACCCAAUCCCUGAUCGUCUGAACCCAACACUGAUCUCAACUAGGUUAUGGGAGAAAUGUCGAUAUAGGUGUAUAAAUUAUACAGAGCUUUAGAAAAGCACAAGUGUGAGUUAUAAAGGAAAAGAGAACGUGAACACUGAUGGAAGGUUGAAGAUGGGAAUGUGAAAAGGAUUGUUCAGGGUUAAGCAAAGGAAGAAGCACCAGCGAGGCAGCAGGUGGCAGUAGAGACUCAGCCUCGCACACACAUGCCUCAACACACACGUCAACACACACCCACAGGGCAAAAGGGAUGCCUGCGUAAGAGGGAGGGCAGGAGGGGUUGCAGCAGAGUUUCCGUGGAAACCGUGAGCGAGCGAGCGAGCGCGCGCCGCGGCGACACCAGCGUCUGCCCCGACGUCACGCACACACUUACCAUCUUCCUCCUCCUCUCUGCCAUGUGCUCCUCCGUCUCCAUCUCUACGUCAUUGCUAACCGAGGUUUGCUCUUCUAGAUCCUCAAAUAACUCAGGAUCCUGUAAGAGGGGGAGAGGGGCCUUAUUCAUCCUCUGCCUUCAUUCAGCACCAGGAGAGAGGGAUGACACAGGGGGAGAUAGAGAGAAAGAGAGCAGGAGGAACGAUGGGGAGACGACGAGCCGGCGAGACCCCUCUCGCUCUGGGUCGGCGUUUAGGGUCAAGCGCCGGCCACUUUAUUCUGUUUAUUUCUCCACAUUCCCAAAGGAAGGCAUCACACAGUACAUUUCUCUUUUGAGUAUACUUUAGUAUAUUUAUUAUUAUCUUUUAUGUUGAUAUUUUUCCUAUUUACUCAAUUUUAAAUCUAAAGUACGAGCCUUUCAUCUUUGUAUUUAAAGAAAUUUAACUCUUUAUUUUCAUUAUUCAUACUUCUUAACUCUUUCUUUGACACAGAAUAAUUAAAGCCAUUAUCUUAUUUUUAUUUGAUUUAUUUUUAUAUUUUGUAGAUUUUAUUAAUUCAAUUCAUUUAAAUUUUAUGUAAUUAUACUCUGCUUGCGAGUAUUAAAUUAUAUUUUAUUUUUCACCCAUGUUUAAUUGUUUAUUUGUUUUAUUGUUUAUUUGUUUUUUGCAGUAAUUUUAUUAAUUUUUAAAAUUUUCUUUCCUGCCACACUGACUCCAUCACCACCUGUACUAAGUUUUCUUUAUUUUAUGGACUGAUUUUAUAUUUGGUUAACGAGGGAAGAUCUUUAAAGAAAAAGGGGAAAAAUGUGGACAGAGGAUCAUGACAAUGACUCUUCUGUAUUUAAAAACAAAACAACUGUUUAACAUAAAGGCAUAAUUUUAAACUAUUAUUUAAACAAAGUUCAUUAUCGAAACAAUGCACAAUCAGUAAUGAAUGAAGUAAAAAUCUGUGAUAUUUAAUAAAGUGUAAGUGUGUGUGUGUGUGUGUGUGUGUGUGUGUGUGUGUGUGUGUGCGCGCACUGAUCAGUGGUGGCUGUUGUCACAUGUCCACAUCAGUGCUGUCGCAGCUGACCUUCAUUACGAUCCAGAUAACAUUCGAUUUGCCAAACAACUCGUUUAACUGCUUUGUGAAAGAUUUCUGAAAUAUGACCUCGGUUAAAUUGAUGGGAAAAAUGAUCCACUCUAAAGGAGAGUCCAAACUAAAACGUAAAAAUCCAGAAACAUGGCCCAGGGGAACAAAAACGAGAAAUGAGCCACAGUAACAGAAUAUGCAGAGAAAGAAUCAUGUUAAAAUACCGUCCAGGAAAAUUAUCUUAAAAACACAAUUGAAAAACUAUCUAAAAAAUUCUAAAAUAACUACCCGAGAGAGUAACCCAGGCUAAAGAACUACCCGAGGGAGUAACCCAUGAUAAAGAACUACCCGAGGGAGUAACCCAGGCUAAAGAACUACCCGAGGGAGUAACUCAGGAUAAAGAACUACCCGAGAGAGUAACCCAUGAUAAAGAACUACCCGAGAGAGUAACCCAGGAUAAAGAACUACCCGAGAGAGUAACCCAUGAUAAAGAACUACCCGAGAGAGUACCCAGGCUAAAGAACUACCCGAGAGAGUACCAGGCUAAAGAACUACCCGAGAGAGUAACCCAGGACAAAGAACUACCCGAGAGAAUACCCAGGCUAAAGAACUACCCGAGAGAGUAACCCAGGCUAAAGAACUACCGAGAGAGUAACCCAGGAUAAAGAACUACCCGAGAGAAUACCCAGGCUAAAGAACUACCCGAGAGAGUAACCCCAGGAUAAAGAACUACCCGAGAGAGUAACCCAUGAUAAAGAACUACCCGAGAGAGUACCCAGGCUAAAGAACUACCCGAGAGAGUAACCCAGGAUAAAGAACUACCCGAGAGAUAAACCCAGGAUAAAUAACUACCUGAGGGAGUAACCCACGAUAAAGAACUACCGAGAGUGUAACCCAGGAUAAA